GACGAACGCUGGCGGCAUGCCUAAUACAUGCAAGUCGAGCGAACAGAUGAAGUGCUUGCACUUCUGACGUUAGCGGCGAACGGGUGAGUAACACGUAAGGAAUCUACCUAUAAGCGGGGGAUAACAUUCGGAAACGGGUGCUAAUACCGCAUAAUAUCUUCUUCCGCAUGGAAGGAGAUUGAAAGACGGCUCUGCUGUCACUUAUAGAUGACCUUGCGGUGCAUUAGUUAGUUGGUGGGGUAACGGCCUACCAAGACGAUGAUGCAUAGCCGACCUGAGAGGGUGAGCGGCCACAUUGGGACUGAGACACGGCCCAAACUCCUACGGGAGGCAGCAGUAGGGAAUCUUCCGCAAUGGGCGAAAGCCUGACGGAGCAAUGCCGCGUGAGUGAAGAAGGCCUUCGGGUCGUAAAACUCUGUUAUAAGAGAAGAACAAAUUGUAGAGUAACUGCUACAGUCUUGACGGUAUCUUAUCAGAAAGCCACGGCUAACUACGUGCCAGCCGCCGCGGUAA
RNAcentral lists this ribosomal RNA (513 nucleotides) under uncultured bacterium. Its description in RNAcentral is "partial 16S ribosomal RNA". It matches the Rfam family "Bacterial small subunit ribosomal RNA", at positions 28 to 523 of the family's 1533-position model. The record is from RNAcentral.